RNAcentral lists this ribosomal RNA (490 nucleotides) under uncultured bacterium. RNAcentral's name for it is "partial 16S ribosomal RNA". It matches the Rfam family "Bacterial small subunit ribosomal RNA", at positions 30 to 507 of the family's 1533-position model. The record is from RNAcentral.
AUUGAACGCUGGCGGCAGGCCUAACACAUGCAAGUCGAACGGUAACAGGAAGCAGCUUGCUGCUUUGCUGACGAGUGGCGGACGGGUGAGUAAUGUCUGGGAAACUGCCUGAUGGAGGGGGAUAACUACUGGAAACGGUAGCUAAUACCGCAUAACGUCGCAAGACCAAAGAGGGGGACCUUCGGGCCUCUUGCCAUCAGAUGUGCCCAGAUGGGAUUAGCUAGUAGGUGGGGUAACGGCUCACCUAGGCGACGAUCCCUAGCUGGUCUGAGAGGAUGACCAGCCACACUGGAACUGAGACACGGUCCAGACUCCUACGGGAGGCAGCAGUGGGGAAUAUUGCACAAUGGGCGCAAGCCUGAUGCAGCCAUGCCGCGUGUAUGAAGAAGGCCUUCGGGUUGUAAAGUACUUUCAGCGGGGAGGAAGGGAGUAAAGUUAAUACCUUUGCUCAUUGACGUUACCCGCAGAAGAAGCACCGGCUAACUCCGUG